This 883-nucleotide ribosomal RNA is filed under the name uncultured bacterium. RNAcentral's name for it is "bacterial SSU rRNA". It matches the Rfam family "Bacterial small subunit ribosomal RNA", at positions 51 to 947 of the family's 1533-position model. The record is from RNAcentral.
ACACAUGCAAGUCGAACGGAGCUUAGAGAGCUUGCUUUUUAAGCUUAGUGGCGAACGGGUGAGUAACGCGUGAGUAACCUGCCCUAGAGUGGGGGACAACAGUUGGAAACGACUGCUAAUACCGCAUAAGCCCACGGUACCGCAUGGUACUGAGGGAAAAGGAUUUAUUCGCUUUAGGAUGGACUCGCGUCCAAUUAGCUAGUUGGUAAGGUAACGGCCCACCAAGGCGACGAUUGGUAGCCGGACUGAGAGGUUGAACGGCCACAUUGGGACUGAGACACGGCCCAGACUCCUACGGGAGGCAGCAGUGGGGGAUAUUGCACAAUGGGGGGAACCCUGAUGCAGCGACGCCGCGUGGAGGAAGAAGGUUUUCGGAUUGUAAACUCCUGUCGUUAGGGACGAUAAUGACGGUACCUAACAAGAAAGCACCGGCUAACUACGUGCCAGCAGCCGCGGUAAAACGUAGGGUGCAAGCGUUGUCCGGAAUUACUGGGUGUAAAGGGAGCGCAGGCGGGAAGACAAGUUGGAAGUGAAAACCAUGGGCUCAACCCAUGAAUUGCUUUCAAAACUGUUUUUCUUGAGUAGUGCAGAGGUAGAUGGAAUUCCCGGUGUAGCGGUGGAAUGCGUAGAUAUCGGGAGGAACACCAGUGGCGAAGGCGGUCUGCUGGGCACCAACUGACGCUGAGGCUCGAAAGCAUGGGUAGCAAACAGGAUUAGAUACCCUGGUAGUCCAUGCCGUAAACGAUGAUUACUAGGUGUUGGGGGAUUGACCCCCUCAGUGCCGCAGUUAACACAAUAAGUAAUCCACCUGGGGAGUACGACCGCAAGGUUGAAACUCAAAGGAAUUGACGGGGGCCCGCACAAGCAGUGGAGUAUGUGGUUU